RNAcentral lists this non-coding RNA (120 nucleotides) under Jiulongibacter sediminis. RNAcentral's name for it is "Leadbetterella sp. JN14-9 SAM riboswitch aptamer (S box leader)". It matches the Rfam family "SAM riboswitch aptamer (S box leader)". From Rfam's summary of the family: The SAM riboswitch is found upstream of a number of genes which code for proteins involved in methionine or cysteine biosynthesis in Gram-positive bacteria. The SAM riboswitch acts at the level of transcription termination control. The predicted structure consists of a complex stem-loop region followed by a single stem loop terminator region. Lineage: Bacteria; Pseudomonadati; Bacteroidota; Cytophagia; Cytophagales; Leadbetterellaceae. RNAcentral also lists the same sequence under 1 other name. The record is from Rfam by way of RNAcentral.
GAUUUAUAAAGACGAGGGGAGAGAAUAGGCUCUUUGAACCUCGGGCAACCUGUCAAAACUUUUGUAUAAGGUGCCAAUACCUACCCCCUGUGCCAUAACGGCCUUUGGGACUUAUAAACC